This 1433-nucleotide ribosomal RNA is filed under the name Isodiametra pulchra. Its description in RNAcentral is "16S ribosomal RNA". Lineage: Eukaryota; Metazoa; Xenacoelomorpha; Acoela; Isodiametridae. The record is from RNAcentral.
CGAGAUAAUAUUAAAUUGUCUUUUUUUUUAUCUAUCAAUUGAAUAAUUAAAUAAAUAAAUAAAUAAAUAAAUAAAUAAAUAAAUAAAUAAAUAAAGCUAUCAGAUUUCAACCAUAUUCUUGAUUUAAAUAAAAUGGGAAGACCUUCUAGUAAAAUUUUGUGGAAAGAUAAAACAUCUUCUUCAUAGCUUCAGUAUGAUAUUCCAACCUAUAAAAUAUCUCCACAUCUUUUUUUAUUUUUUUUAUUAAAAAAAAAGAAACUCUUUUUAAUUAAAUUAAAAAAAAAUUAAUUCCCGAUACAAGUACAAAAAAAAGAAGCGUUUCCCUCCUUAAAUAAUCAUUUUUCCUUAUAAUUAGCAACUAAUUCAUAAUUUUUAAAAAAAAUUUUUGAAACGUAAAACAAAGAAUUAUUCUUGCCUUUGGCAUCAGGAUAUUUAGAUUAUACUUUCCUGGGAACAUAUUCUGAAAGAAUGAGAUUUAUUUUAUGAGUGCCCCACAAUGACUAAGAGGGCAUACCAUUAAAUAGGAGCAAAAAACUUGCAUUCAUUCUAAUAACUGAUUAUGGCCCAUAAACGACAAGAUCAUUUAGGGAUUAGCUUGAUGAAUUUUUAUCUAGAAGUAAAAAACUGUAAACAAAUUACGUUGAUUUUGUGUGAGCAAGUUGUCAUUUCUUUUGUUUUUAAAAAGUAAAUAAUAAGUCUUGUCUAUUUUAUUACAUUUCAAUAAAAAACUUUACUAACAUGAAAGAGGACUGUUUAACAAAUACAUUGCUUUCUGUAAAAAUAUGGAAGGUAGUUCGCCUGCUCAAUGAUGGACUCCCACCAUUAAAUUGACGUCGAGAGUUAAAGUAGCAAAAUCCUGUGUUUCUUAAUUAGAUUCGAGUAUGAAAGGUGAUACCUUUUUCUAUUGUUUUAUUGAGAAAUAAGAAAUUAAAAUGUAAGUGAAAAUUCUUAAACAAAUUGUUUAGACGAUUAGACCCUAGAAACUUUAUUCAAAUAGAUUGAUUGGGGAAUUCAAAGUUUAUAAAAAACUUUCCAAUAGAGUUAUUUUCAACAAAACAAAUUAGAUGAGCCAUUAAUCAAGUGGAUGCAUGAAAAGUUACUCUAGGGAUAACAGCAUAAUUUCUUUAGUGAGAACGCAUUGUUAGAGAAGGUUAUGACCUCGAUGUUGAAUUUGGUAAACAUUAUGUGGUAGCCAACAUGGUGCAAGGACUGUUCGUCCUCAACUACCAACAUGAUUUGAGUUAAAAUCGGCGUAAGCUAGACUGGUUUCUAUCUGACAAUUUUUAUAAAAACUUUACUUUAGUACGAAAGGAAUAGGAGGGAGACACAGAGUGUUGAUUUAGAAAAAAUUAAACUAGGGGAAAAGAAAUUAAGAGAAAUCUUUUCUUCUUUUAAUUAGAAAUUAAAUGUAAUAAUAAUGAGGAACUAAUAUU